UGCAUUCCUGGGACAUGUGACAGCAG
This 26-nucleotide non-coding RNA is filed under the name Mus musculus (house mouse). The record is from RNAcentral. Lineage: Eukaryota; Metazoa; Chordata; Mammalia; Rodentia; Muridae.